CCAUUCUGCCUACGUGACUAGUAUCACAUACCUGGGUGAGGGGCUUCCUCCCUGGUGGGCUAGAGUCUGCCCGGCAACUAGUGAUAUAUUUCAAAUUGGUUGGCUGACUACCAACAGGUGCUGGCCUCCAUUGGACCAGGUACAUGAGGUCACAAGGGCUAUAUAAGUUAAGGACUGCCCAGGCAGAGAAAGGCAGCAGCCAUGAGGGAUACUCAGGAAAAAAGAAGAGCUGUACCAUCUGAAACUUGCUCUAUCUCUCAAAACUCAUGAUCAAGGAACUGCUUUCCUCCAGAGGGAUUCUCCUACAGCCUCUGGAUGAUACUUCACUGUUCAUUGUUUGCUGUGUGAACUGCCUGCAUGAAUUUCUAAGGGAAGAUCAAGUCUUGGGAUGGGGGCAGCGCAACCCAGGAAGCUUUCCCAGAACGGCCAGCUGAGGGAAGUAACUCCUGCGUAACAGCUCUAGACAGACUGUGAAGCGGUGAAGUCACGUUAACGUGCUCAGCCUUUGGUAACUGUCUGCUUAUAUUUUGGUAGUCCCAGUAAAGUUGACAGUUUGUAUUCUGGCAA
Alligator mississippiensis (American alligator) is the source of this 567-nucleotide long non-coding RNA. RefSeq lists it as uncharacterized. Lineage: Eukaryota; Metazoa; Chordata; Crocodylia; Alligatoridae. The transcript is spliced from 2 exons. The record is from RefSeq and is a predicted model, not a curated record.